GCUGAAAUACAAAUUGUUUUAUAAAUAGUUUCGCCGUUUUCUAGUCAUUCCUGUUUUCUUUAAAAAAUCCUUUAAAGACAUAACGUCUAUUCCUCUCUCAGAAUAAUCUCCUUUAAUGAAUAAUUGCGCUGUUUUUAUUGCUCAUUUGUAUUAGCCCCAAAGACCUUGAGAUGUCACCUGAUACUUCACAAUUUGAAAUAACCAGAAAAGUUUAAAAUGUUGGUUUGAACUUUGAAGCAUCCCAUACACAGUCUAUCAAGAUAUGAUGAUGUGGAAACUGAACACAAGUCAUUGUAUUAUGUUUUUAUCUGAGUUUAUGUUAAUCUGUGCAGGGUCACGGUGAUUGAGUUCAUUGUAUUUUCGUAGAAUGAAGUAAUCGUCCAAUAGGGAUAGCUGAGAUGAAACGUG
Paramuricea clavata is the source of this 408-nucleotide non-coding RNA. Lineage: Eukaryota; Metazoa; Cnidaria; Anthozoa; Malacalcyonacea; Plexauridae. The record is from the annotation of a GenBank genome assembly.